UGCGAAGGGUGCAAACGUUGCUCGGAAUUAUUGGGCGUAAAGCGCACGUAGGCGGCUUGGCAAGUCGGAUGUGAAAUCCCUCGGCUCAACCAAGGAAGUGCAUCCGAAACUGCCGAGCUUGAGUACUUAAGAGGAUCGCGGAAUUCCCGGUGUAGAGGUGAAAUUCGUAGAUAUCGGGAGGAACACCAGUGGCGAAGGCGGCGAUCUGGGAAGAUACUGACGCUGAGGUGCGAAAGCGUGGGGAGCAAACAGG
RNAcentral lists this ribosomal RNA (253 nucleotides) under uncultured bacterium. RNAcentral's name for it is "partial 16S ribosomal RNA". It matches the Rfam family "Bacterial small subunit ribosomal RNA", at positions 524 to 776 of the family's 1533-position model. The record is from RNAcentral.